UACGUAGGGUGCAAGCGUUGUCCGGAAUUAUUGGGCGUAAAGAGCGUGUAGGCGGCCAUGUAGGUCCGUUGUGAAAACUCGAGGCUCAACCUCGAGACGUCGAUGGAAACCAUAUGGCUAGAGUCCGGAAGAGGAGAGUGGAAUUCCUGGUGUAGCGGUGAAAUGCGCAGAUAUCAGGAAGAACACCCGUGGCUAAGGCGGCUCUCUAGUACGGUACUGACGCUGAGACGCGAAAGCGUGGGGAGCGAACAGG
Molecule: ribosomal RNA, 253 nt
Filed under: uncultured bacterium
Lineage: Bacteria
Description: partial 16S ribosomal RNA
Rfam family: Bacterial small subunit ribosomal RNA
Source: RNAcentral